UCCUGCUGGGCCUUGCCUUUGGCAGCUCUUCCCUGCAGCUUGGUGGAUGAGCUGCUGCUGGGAAAAGCUCCCAGUGCCCAGGAAAGCAUAGCCAUCGCUGAUCCCAGGGUGAGGAUGAGCCUGGAUGAGCUGUGUGGGCAGCCCAGUGCAGGGAGGCACAGCUCCUUCCCUCCCAGCUUGGAGAGCUGCUGGGACAGACUCACCACAUGCCCUGGUGUGGGGUUGGUGUAGCUGCUCACAUGGGCUGGGUCAUGCUGCUCACUGGAUUUAGAGGUGGGAUAUCACUUUUUUCCCACUGGACAGGGAAUAUGGAUGAGCUUUUU
This 323-nucleotide long non-coding RNA is filed under the name Parus major (Great Tit). RNAcentral describes it as "lncRNA (ENSPMJG00000008320.1)". The record is from RNAcentral. Lineage: Eukaryota; Metazoa; Chordata; Aves; Passeriformes; Paridae.